GUGUCAGCCGCCGCGGUAAGACGGAGGGCGCAAGCGUUGUUCGGAAUUACUGGGCGUAAAGCGCGGGCAGGCGGUCCGUUAAGUCGUUUGUGAAAACCCGGGGCUCAACCCCGUGGAAUGCAGACGAUACUGGCGGACUAGAGACCGGUAGAGGCUAGCGGAAUUCCUGGUGUAGCGGUGGAAUGCGUAGAUAUCAGGAAGAACACCUGUGGCGAAGGCGGCUAGCUGGGCCGGGUCUGACGCUCAUCCGCGAAAGCGUGGGGAGCAAACAGGAUUAGAUACCCUGGUAGUCCACGCCGUAAACGAUGGGCACUAGGUGCCGGGUCUAUAGACGGAUUCGGUGCCGUAGCUAACGCAUUAAGUGCCCCGCCUGGGGAGUACGGUCGCAAGGCUGAAACUCAAAUGAAUUGACGGGG
Molecule: ribosomal RNA, 416 nt
Filed under: uncultured prokaryote
Description: bacterial SSU rRNA
Rfam family: Bacterial small subunit ribosomal RNA
Source: RNAcentral